This 369-nucleotide long non-coding RNA is filed under the name Phascolarctos cinereus (koala). RNAcentral describes it as "lncRNA (ENSPCIG00000035921.1)". The record is from RNAcentral. Lineage: Eukaryota; Metazoa; Chordata; Mammalia; Diprotodontia; Phascolarctidae.
CCUUUGACUGAAUCCAAAAUUCACAGAACGAAUCCCCUUAAUAAAAGGAUUUGCUCUGUAAAAUUUGGACCCAGUCAAAAGGCCGCACCCAAGAACCUAGAAGGCCUCAUGUGGCCUCGAGGUCUCAGGUUCCCCACCCCUGAAUUAGAUGAUCUCUAAGGUCCUUUCUAGUUCUAUAUCUAGUUCUAUAUAUCUAUGACUGACAGAAGAAAGUACCUGUUCAACACCACCACCACAGAAGACCUGGCACUACGCACUGGAGCGGAUAGAGUCUGGACAUGGAGGAAAUGUAAUGGAGAAGACCAAGGGAGACAGAAAAAGUUUAUUUUCGAACGUGUCAACACACUUCUGAAAAGGUUACACAUAUGA